UAGCAUUACAUAAAUAAAUAAAAGUAGUAUUAAAUAAAAGUAGUAUUAAAUAUCAUUAUAUAAAUAUGAUACAGCAUGUUCUUUGGUUUUUAAUGUUGUUGGAAGCAGAAUUCAGCAGUUUGUAAAAGUACUAUUAAAUUUCAUAAUAUAAUAAAUAUUUAAGUUCAUGUUUUUAGGUUUUUAGUGUUGUUGUGAGCAGAACACAGCAACAGUUAUAGUCUGGUACUGGUUUCACAAGGAUCCAGAAGCACAGUCUAACACUGUGUUCAUGGUCCAUUGUCUCAACCACCAAGUACUCA
Astyanax mexicanus (Mexican tetra) is the source of this 299-nucleotide long non-coding RNA. RefSeq lists it as uncharacterized. Lineage: Eukaryota; Metazoa; Chordata; Actinopteri; Characiformes; Acestrorhamphidae. The record is from RefSeq and is a predicted model, not a curated record. The transcript is spliced from 3 exons.